Molecule: long non-coding RNA, 1971 nt
Filed under: Vigna radiata
Lineage: Eukaryota; Viridiplantae; Streptophyta; Magnoliopsida; Fabales; Fabaceae
Description: long non-coding RNA (VRAD_LNC016301)
Source: RNAcentral
UUUUAUUUUAAUUUUAAAAGAAAAAGCCAUUAGGCCUUAUAAUUUGGGCCAGACCCAUAAGUUAAGGGUGCCUUAGCCUUAGAAGGGAACUUUCAGAAAAUCAGAUUUCAUUAGCCAAACCCUCUUCUCUCUCUAAAACUCAUAUUUCUUAUUUUCUCUGCCUUCUCUGUAACCUUGCUCCACCUUCUCUGUAUCCCUUUCUCAAAUUUUUCACCGUCGCUUUUUCAAAUAGGUGGUGCCCUUACGUUCCCGGAGUCGAGGGUUUCCAAUCCUUCCGAUUAGUUUCGCAUCUCUCAGUUAAUAAGGUAAUUUUCCCAUUCUCCGUACCCUAGGGUUUUACUCAUUUUCCUUAUCCUUUCAAGCUCUAAGGGCUUUACUCUACACCAUUUUGAUGGCUUAUAGGUACUGUUGAGCUUGCCUCUGUGCAGAGGUACUGUUAGGACAUUUUCUAGGAGCUAUGCUGUGUGAGCUAAAGGGGAGCUAGAUUUUCUUAUUUAAAAUUUGUAGAAGUAUAUAGGUAUGAACAGUGCUUUGUACUGUGGUACUUUUUGAGUGGUGUUCUAGACGUAUUAAUUGUUGUUGAGUAUUAUUGUAUCUGGCGUGAGUAUGUGUUGGUGAUUUUCAUAUGCAUUGUUUGCCAUAUUUUCUGGUACAGCUGUUGUUGGGUUAAAAUUUAGUUUUCAGUUUUAACCCUAGGAUACAUGACGGGUUGAUUUAAGAAUCUUGUUAGGGUUUUGUUUUACAUGAUAAAGGGGUUCCUUUAGUGUUUGUAGGGGGUGUGAGGAAGUGGUCUGCGACGUGAAAAAAAAAAAAAAAGCUAGGGGGAGGGAUGCGAAGGGUUGUGAGGGGGGGAAGGUUUUUUUUUUGGUAAGAGAAAAAAAAUAUGGUUUCAUGAUUAAAUUGUAGAAUUAUGAGAAAGAGUGAUAAGAAGGUAGAAAAGAGUGAAGGUAUUUUUAAAAGCAAAGGAAAAAAUGGACAAUGAGUGAGACAAUGAAGUUGAUGGGUUGGGUUUCAUAAUGAAAGUGAACAAAAUGGUAGCAGUGGGAUUAUUUGGGUUUUAAGUUUGGGAGGAAGAUGAGAUUUUGUCAUAUAAGAGAAUUGGAAAAAAAAUGGUGGUGGCUAAGGAGGCCGCGUGAGUGGGUUGGUUCCAUUGUGAAUGGUUGUAUGGGUACUACUAUGCGGAAAGAGAAAUGGCUGGGGAGAGUAGAAAACAGUACGCCUUAGAAGUGAUGAACAUAAGAAGGAACGAGUGUGAGGGUAUAUUACUUUAUGGAGGAGAGAAGUUUGUGUUUAUGAAUAGCAUGGGAUAAAAUGGAUAAUGAUAUUUUAAUAACUCUUUUUAACAAUUUUUUUACAACACGACACGUGUCAUCAUUUUAUUGGUCUGUUUGAAUUUAUGUUUAAAAAAAUAUUUGAAGCAGACCAAUCAUAGACUGCCACGUAUACGUUAUCAAAAAAUUGUCAAAAAAGAGUUGUUAAAGAGACUUUUUUCGGAUAAAAUAGUAAGGAUAGGAAAUUGAUGAGUGAGUGAAUCCACGGGUUUUAUGAAAGAAAAAUGGGAAGUAAAGAGAAUGGGCUGCAUGACCGUGAGAGAGAAGGAGGAAUAGAUUAAGUUCAUGAGCAUUGAUUAGGGUGGGUCCAUGGUGGUAGGUAAGGGUGAUCUUUUCACUUUAGUUGAAGGAAGUGUAUAUUUCCAUUGUUACAUGAGGGACUUUCAUUUUUAUCUCAUUUGGGGUUGUAGUUGUAUCUUUUCUUUUCUUUAAAUUUUGGUUCAUUAGAAAAUACUUCCCAUAGAAUCUUUUAAUCAAGUAAAUGAAUAUAAAAUAUAUAAUAUAAUAUAGUUACAUAUAAAAAAAUUAGUAGAAGUAGUUACGAUAUUAAAUUCUAUUAACAUAUUAUAGUUUUAUAUAUAUACUUAAUAUUAAAUUCUAUUAAUAUAAUAUAGUUUUAUAUAUAUAAUUAGUAAGUACG